GGGAGCCGCGAUCGGCCGAACCUGUGGACGCGGCAGGUAAACAAACUGGCCCGGCCCACCAAGGGCUUUCCCUGCACAAGCGACAGAACAAGUUUUGGGAACUGCUGUUCUAGACAAUAGCUAUCUUGUACUGCCCCGUUACAGUAGUACAUGAACACCUCAUAAUCUUUUAAUGUAUUUAUUCUUUCAACAUCUGGUGAGGGAGGGAAGUAAUACUGGCUUUUUUUUUUUUAAACUGACAGGAUGUUGAGGCACAGAGAGGCUAAGUGACUUGCUCAAGGUCGUACAGGAAUUCUGUCAGAGCAGGCAACUGAAGCUACAUGUCUCAAGUCCUAAGCUAGUGCCCUAACCGCUGUCCUUCUCUGUGUUAGCUAUUUCGGUAGAAAUAAACUGCAUUUACAUAAGGAAGAAAAACAACUGGAUAAAGCACAGAGGACAAAAUUAAAAACUAAACUGGCUCCUAUAAAAUUACUUUAAAGGUGAAUGAGAGUGUGUGGUUUUUUUUUUUUUUUUUUUUUUGCUUCUUUCCAAUAUAUUUUUAAAAAAGGGCCUGAAUGCAUUUUCUCAGAAGGCUGUUGGGAGUAAGGGGGUGGGGAGUUGUUUUUUUUUUUUUUAAUUGUGGAAGUGGUUUUUGCUUUUUUUUUUUUUUCUUUUCUCUUUCUUAGAAACAAUAAAUUGUCUCUCUAUUGGCAGAAUUCUUGGCUGCCUCAGAAAUGUGAGCUGGAAGGGUUCUCGUUCCAUAAUGGAGGAGCCAGCAGGCCAAAUCCUUAUCCAAGAAGUUUUCUCCAAUUCUUUAGUUAAAAGGGGUGUUGUUAAAAGAGAAAAAAAACCCAUAGUUUUAAGCAGUGACUAUAAACUGCUUCCUCUCUCAGGUUCCAAUUCUGAAAACACUUACAUUCUUAACUUCACUACUAUGUACUGUCCCAUUGAUUUCAGUGGAACUACUCACAAUAAUAAAGUUAAAUACAUGAACCAGCAGCAUCAAGGUCUCAAUUAGGUUUCGCUUCCUUGGUAUCUCUGAUGUCAUAAACUUACUAGUUCUCUGGUCACCCAAAAUACCUGGGUAGAUAAGACCUGAAUUUCAUUUAAAGGAAGUCGAAAGAAACAUGUCUUCUAGGCCAUCUUCAUACAUACUUAAUGAGCAGAAGACCCACAGAGAUCAUGGAGAUACUACAGACUGAGAUUUGUGGCCUUCCCACAGUGAUUAAUUGACCUAAUCUUACCCCCAGGUGCUGUCAAUAAGAAACUUGAGAGCAGAGAAAAAAGUGGGAUUUAGGGUUUGUUUUGUUUGGUUACAGUGUAAAAGAUGAGUCUAUAUAUGGUUUAUAGCAGAAAAUAGAAUCAAUAAUGAAAAGCAGCUAUGUAAAGACCAAGAUGUGUAAUUAGGGAGAAGAUACUUGAGAGACACAGUGUUAUAAAACAGUAAAGGACCUUGCAGUUGAAGUGAUGCAAGUAGGAGUAAGGAGAACAGAGGGGCAUGUAUGGCUGCAACAGAGAAAAUGAUUCAUUAGAGGCUGCUAUCCAGGGACAAGGAGAGAGGGAGGGGAAAUCCUGUCAAUGAGAAAUAUAAAGAAGAAAAAUCGCUGCUCAUGUAAUACCUGCAAAAAGAUAUUCUACCUGUGCUCCCCCUGCUGUGGAAAAUUAUUAAUGAACACCAUCUUGGGAUCUGUGACAGUUCUGGAAGCACUGAUUAGAACAAUAGAAGUUGUAAUUCCUAGAUCUGUCUGUUUGCCUAAUACAAUGAAAGAAAACAGAUUCUUGUGCCUCCUUGUAUACAAUCUCCUUGUUGUAAGUUUUUAUAAUAUGAACAUAGUACGCAUGGGUUUUCGCUUGUCCAUUAAAGGCUCGAUUUCAAGCC
This is a long non-coding RNA of Dermochelys coriacea (leatherback sea turtle), 1858 nucleotides long. RefSeq lists it as uncharacterized. The record is from RefSeq and is a predicted model, not a curated record. The transcript has 2 exons. NCBI's taxonomy places the organism in Eukaryota, Metazoa, Chordata, Testudines, Dermochelyidae.